CCUACGGGAGGCAGCAGUGGGGAAUAUUGCACAAUGGGGGAAACCCUGAUGCAGCGACGCCGCGUGAGUGAAGAAGGAAUUCGUUAUGUAAAGCUCUAUCAGCAGGGAAGAAAAUGACGGUACCUGAGUAAUACGCCCCGUCUAACUACGUGCCAGCAGCAGCGGUAAUACGUAGGGGGCAAGCGUUAUCCGGAUUUACUGGGUGUAAAGGGAGCGUAGACGGUAGUGCAAGUCUGGAGUGAAAGGCGGGGGCUCAACCCCAGGACUGCUCUGGAAACUGUACGGCUGGAGUGCAGGAGAGGGAAGUGGAAUUCCUAGUGUAGCGGUGAAAUGCGUAGAUAUUAGGAGGAACACCAGUGGCGAAGGCGGCUUGCUGGACUGUAACUGACGUUGAGGCUCGAAAGCGUGGGGAGCAAACAGGAUUAGAUACCCUUGUAGUC
RNAcentral lists this ribosomal RNA (440 nucleotides) under uncultured bacterium. RNAcentral describes it as "partial 16S ribosomal RNA". It matches the Rfam family "Bacterial small subunit ribosomal RNA", at positions 338 to 795 of the family's 1533-position model. The record is from RNAcentral.